UAUUUAUGGACCAGUUCAAGAUGUGAGGAUUCCAUAUCAACAGAAGAAAAUGUUUGGGAAGCUGCAGCAUCAGCAGCAACAAAUGGAAUGAGGAGAGUUCUCAGCAUGUGGUGGCCCUACUGGCUUAGAUUCAAGAGACCCUUAUGAUCUCCAGCAUGGAGCAAGAUGUUUGGAUAUACUUCCCAAGCUAGAACAUAUUGUGGAGAAAGAAACUGGUGGAACAAGUUGACUUGCAGCAAGCCAUUGAGCUCCAAGGUCGGAGACUGAUGGGUCUGCGACUUCUUGAUGUAAAAGGCACAAUCACCACCGUACAUAUUUAACUUCUUAUAGUAGUGAUCUUUUUAUUUAAUUUCCUUUAUAUAUACUUUUGAACAUAUUUAUUUUUAUUAUGAAAUAUAUGACGUAUUCAUUCAAUAUGUGAUUGUGAUUCAAAGUAUAAUAUAUAGUGUGUAUUAACAUUCUUGA
Non-coding RNA from Camellia sinensis, 465 nucleotides. The record is from RefSeq and is a predicted model, not a curated record. Lineage: Eukaryota; Viridiplantae; Streptophyta; Magnoliopsida; Ericales; Theaceae.